UGCAAGUCGAACGGUAACAUUUCUAGCUUGCUAGAAGAUGACGAGUGGCGGACGGGUGAGUAAUGCUUGGGAACUUGCCUUUGCGAGGGGGAUAACAGUUGGAAACGACUGCUAAUACCGCAUAAUGUCUACGGACCAAACGGGGCUUCGGCUCCGGCGCAAAGAGAGGCCCAAGUGAGAUUAGCUAGUUGGUAAGGUAACGGCUUACCAAGGCGACGAUCUCUAGCUGUUCUGAGAGGAAGAUCAGCCACACUGGGACUGAGACACGGCCCAGACUCCUACGGGAGGCAGCAGUGGGGAAUAUUGCACAAUGGGGGAAACCCUGAUGCAGCCAUGCCGCGUGUGUGAAGAAGGCCUUCGGGUUGUAAAGCACUUUCAGUUGUGAGGAAAAGUUAGUAGUUAAUACCUGCUAGCCGUGACGUUAACAACAGAAGAAGCACCGGCUAACUCCGUGCCAGCAGCCGCGGUAAUACGGAGGGUGCGAGCGUUAAUCGGAAUUACUGGGCGUAAAGCGCACGCAUGCGGUUUGUUAAGCUA
RNAcentral lists this ribosomal RNA (537 nucleotides) under Alteromonas sp. RNAcentral describes it as "bacterial SSU rRNA". It matches the Rfam family "Bacterial small subunit ribosomal RNA", at positions 56 to 590 of the family's 1533-position model. Lineage: Bacteria; Pseudomonadati; Pseudomonadota; Gammaproteobacteria; Alteromonadales; Alteromonadaceae. The record is from RNAcentral.